Molecule: ribosomal RNA, 547 nt
Filed under: Wakarumbia obstinata
Lineage: Eukaryota; Metazoa; Arthropoda; Insecta; Coleoptera; Lycidae
Description: partial 16S large subunit ribosomal RNA
Rfam family: Archaeal large subunit ribosomal RNA
Source: RNAcentral
UGCCGCAGUAUUUUGACUGUGCAAAGGUAGCAUAAUAAUUAGUUUUUUAAUUAAGAACUGGUAUGAAUGAUUGGACAAGAAAAUUACUGUCUCUUUUUUAAUUUUUAUUGAAUUUUAUUUUUAAGUGAAAAAGCUUAAAUUUUUAUAAAAGACGAGAAGACCCUAUAGAGUUUGAUAUUNUUAGNUAUUUAAAUAUAGAAUUUUUUUUUGUUAAGGUUUAUUUAGUUGGGGUGAUUUGAAGAUUUAAUAAAUUCUUUAACAGAAAAAAUUAGUGAUUUCUAAAAUAAAAUUCUAUAAUUUGUAAGUUUAAAAUAAAUUACCUUAGGGAUAACAGCGUAAUUUUUCUUUAAAGUUCUUAUUAAAAGAAAAGUUUGCGACCUCGAUGUUGGAUUAAAAUUAAUUUUUGGUGCAAUAACUUAAAAAUUAGGUCUGUUCGACCUUUAAAAUUUUACAUGAUCUGAGUUUAAACCGGUGUAAACCAGGUUGGAUUCUAUCUUUAAAUAAUUAUUAUAUUUUAGUACGAAAGGACCAAAUAUUUAUUAAAUUA